GACGAACGCUGGCGGCGUGCUUAACACAUGCAAGUCGAACGGAAAGGCCCUGCUUUUGUGGGGUGCUCGAGUGGCGAACGGGUGAGUAACACGUGAGUAACCUGCCCUUGACUUUGGGAUAACUUCAGGAAGCUGGGGCUAAUACCGGAUAGGAGCUCCUGCUGCAUGGUGGGGGUUGGAAAGUUUCGGCGGUUGGGGAUGGACUCGCGGCUUAUCAGCUUGUUGGUGGGGUAGUGGCUUACCAAGGCUUUGACGGGUAGCCGGCCUGAGAGGGUGACCGGCCACAUUGGGACUGAGAUACGGCCCAGACUCCUACGGGAGGCAGCAGUGGGGAAUAUUGCACAAUGGGCGGAAGCCUGAUGCAGCAACGCCGCGUGCGGGAUGACGGCCUUCGGGUUGUAAACCGCUUUCGCCUGUGACGAAGCGUGAGUGUCGGUAAUGGGUAAAGAAGCACCGGCUAACUACGUG
RNAcentral lists this ribosomal RNA (468 nucleotides) under uncultured bacterium. Its description in RNAcentral is "partial 16S ribosomal RNA". It matches the Rfam family "Bacterial small subunit ribosomal RNA", at positions 28 to 507 of the family's 1533-position model. The record is from RNAcentral.